GACCAGACUCCUACGGGAGGCAGCAGUGGGGAAUAUUGCACAAUGGGGGAAACCCUGAUGCAGCGACGCCGCGUGAAGGAAGAAGUAUCUCGGUAUGUAAACUUCUAUCAGCAGGGAAGAAAACAGACGGUACCUGACUAAGAAGCCCCGGCUAACUACGUGCCAGCAGCCGCGGUAAUACGUAGGGGGCAAGCGUUAUCCGGAUUUACUGGGUGUAAAGGGGGCGCAGACGGCAGCGCAAGCCAGGAGUGAAAGCCCGGGGCCCAACCCCGGGACUGCUCUUGGAACUGCGCGGCUGGAGUGCAGGAGGGGCAGGCGGAAUUCCUGGUGUAGCGGUGAAAUGCGUAGAUAUCAGGAGGAACACCGGUGGCGAAGGCGGCCUGCUGGACUGCGACUGACGUUGAGGCCCGAAAGCGUGGGGAGCAAACAGGAUUAGAUACCCCCGUAGA
Molecule: ribosomal RNA, 449 nt
Filed under: uncultured bacterium
Lineage: Bacteria
Description: bacterial SSU rRNA
Rfam family: Bacterial small subunit ribosomal RNA
Source: RNAcentral